GGCAAACGGGUGAGUAACGCGUGGGAAACCUGCCCUUGUGUUGGGGAUAACACUUCCAACGAGGUGCUAAUACCGAAUGUGAUCGUUGAAUCGCAUGGUUUGACGAUGAAAGGCGGCCUCUGCUUGCAAGCUGUCGCACAAGGAUGGUCCCGCGUCCCAUUAGCUAGUUGGUGAGGUAAUGGCCCACCAAGGCUAUGAUGGGUAGCCGGCCUUAGCGGGUGUCCGGCCACACUGGGACUGAGAUACGGCCCAGACUCCUACGGGAGGCAGCAGUCGAGAGGCUUCUACAAUGGGGGAAACCCUGAUAGAGCGACGCCGCGUGGGUGAUGAAGGUCUUCGGAUCGUAAAGCCCUUUCAGCAGGGAAGAACGGAUUGGUGCUAAUAUCACCGUAUCCAUGACGGUACCUGCAGAAGAAGCUCCGGCUAACUCCGUGCCAGCAGCCGCGGUAAGACGGAGGGAGCAAGCGUUGUUCGGAUUUACUGGGCGUAAAGGGCGUCUAGGCGGGUUGGUCAGUCAGGUGUGAAACCCCCCGGCUCAACCGGGGAUCUGCACUUGAUACUGCCGAUCUUGAGUACGGAAGAGGAAAGCGGAAUUCCUGGUGUAGCGGUGAAAUGCGUAGAUAUCAGGAAGAACACCGGUGGCGAAGGCGGCUUUCUGGUCCGAUACUGACGCUAAAGCGCGAAAGUGUGGGGAGCAAACAGGAUUAGAUACCCUGGUAGUCCACAC
RNAcentral lists this ribosomal RNA (727 nucleotides) under uncultured bacterium. RNAcentral describes it as "bacterial SSU rRNA". It matches the Rfam family "Bacterial small subunit ribosomal RNA", at positions 97 to 800 of the family's 1533-position model. The record is from RNAcentral.